CAGUUUUCUACAGGUGAUGAGAUGGUAGGAGGAUUGUAAAACUCAUGCCCACACCUUGGGUGCGGAUCCUACCACGGAGGGUAGAGGAUGUGGUUGGCUAUAACAAUCAUGGUACUUGCUUCUUCUGCCUACCUGUCCGGCCUAGUGUUCUAUCCGGAACAAACCAACGCGUUCUGUGAGACCAUCGGCGGGCGGUGUCAUAGCUUCAUGAAGAAAGACCACAAAAAGGAGUUCAGGAAAAAGACGAAAAGGAGAAACCCGUUUUCACGUGCUUCAAGCUCUGAGCCGGAAAACACACAUGAUGACUGAGUGUAAAGGAUUGUAGAUGUAGCUACAACAGAGAAUGUACCCAGUUCAUACCAGGGAAUCAGCUUUGCCGCUUAAAGCAUUUGCUUUCAUACGAGGCCGUUGGUGAAAUCCAGCUCAGCCUUAAUCAGGAUCAUCAACAACGUUAACGUUACUCAGUGCAGUUAAAAAAGAAACCGCUAAAAGACGCUUAAUCAGAAGGACUAAUCAGUGUUGUUGAAUUGAUCACGAA
Long non-coding RNA from Branchiostoma floridae (Florida lancelet), 538 nucleotides. RefSeq lists it as uncharacterized. The transcript has 3 exons. NCBI's taxonomy places the organism in Eukaryota, Metazoa, Chordata, Leptocardii, Amphioxiformes, Branchiostomatidae. The record is from RefSeq and is a predicted model, not a curated record.